Molecule: transfer RNA, 75 nt
Filed under: Tolypothrix bouteillei VB521301
Lineage: Bacteria; Bacillati; Cyanobacteriota; Cyanophyceae; Nostocales; Tolypothrichaceae
Description: tRNA-Gly
Rfam family: tRNA
About the family: Transfer RNA (tRNA) molecules are approximately 80 nucleotides in length. Their secondary structure includes four short double-helical elements and three loops (D, anti-codon, and T loops). Further hydrogen bonds mediate the characteristic L-shaped molecular structure. tRNAs have two regions of fundamental functional importance: the anti-codon, which is responsible for specific mRNA codon recognition, and the 3' end, to which the tRNAs corresponding amino acid is attached (by aminoacyl-tRNA synthetases). tRNAs cope with the degeneracy of the genetic code in two manners: having more than one tRNA (with a specific anti-codon) for a particular amino acid; and 'wobble' base-pairing, i.e. permitting non-standard base-pairing at the 3rd anti-codon position.
Source: RNAcentral
GGGGUUGUAGCUCAAUGGAAGAGCAGGAGUCUUCCAGACUCCAGGCUGGGGGUUCAAGUCCUCCCAAUCUCCACA